Molecule: transfer RNA, 69 nt
Filed under: Mantidactylus bellyi
Lineage: Eukaryota; Metazoa; Chordata; Amphibia; Anura; Mantellidae
Description: tRNA-Val
Rfam family: tRNA
About the family: Transfer RNA (tRNA) molecules are approximately 80 nucleotides in length. Their secondary structure includes four short double-helical elements and three loops (D, anti-codon, and T loops). Further hydrogen bonds mediate the characteristic L-shaped molecular structure. tRNAs have two regions of fundamental functional importance: the anti-codon, which is responsible for specific mRNA codon recognition, and the 3' end, to which the tRNAs corresponding amino acid is attached (by aminoacyl-tRNA synthetases). tRNAs cope with the degeneracy of the genetic code in two manners: having more than one tRNA (with a specific anti-codon) for a particular amino acid; and 'wobble' base-pairing, i.e. permitting non-standard base-pairing at the 3rd anti-codon position.
Source: RNAcentral
CAAAAUGUAGCUUAAAUAAAGCCCUUCGCUUACACCGAAAAAAUAUCUGUUAAAUCCAGAUCACUUUGA